AGAGUUUGAUCAUGGCUCAGGAUGAACGCUAGCUACAGGCUUAACACAUGCAAGUCGAGGGGAAACGACAUCGAAAGCUUGCUUUUGAUGGGCGUCGACCGGCGCACGGGUGAGUAACGCGUAUCCAACCUGCUCACCACUUGGGGAUAACCUUGCGAGAGUAAGACUAAUACCCAAUGACGUCUCUAGAAGACAUCUGAAAGAGAUUAAAGAUUUAUCGGUGAUGGAUGGGGAUGCGUCUGAUUAGCUUGUUGGCGGGGUAACGGCCCACCAAGGCGACGAUCAGUAGGGGUUCUGAGAGGAAGGUCCCCCACAUUGGAACUGAGACACGGUCCAAACUCCUACGGGAGCA
Molecule: ribosomal RNA, 352 nt
Filed under: uncultured bacterium
Lineage: Bacteria
Description: bacterial SSU rRNA
Rfam family: Bacterial small subunit ribosomal RNA
Source: RNAcentral